RNAcentral lists this ribosomal RNA (440 nucleotides) under uncultured bacterium. RNAcentral's name for it is "partial 16S ribosomal RNA". It matches the Rfam family "Bacterial small subunit ribosomal RNA", at positions 338 to 795 of the family's 1533-position model. The record is from RNAcentral.
CCUACGUGAGGCAGCAGUGGGGAAUAUUGCACAAUGGGGGGAACCCUGAUGCAGCAACGCCGCGUGGGUGAAGAAGUACUUCGGUAUGUAAAGCCCUGUCAGCAGGGAAGAAAAUGACGGUACCUGACUAAGAAGCCCCGGCUAACUACGUGCCAGCAGCCGCGGUAAUACGUAGGGGGCAAGCGUUAUCCGGAUUUACUGGGUGUAAAGGGAGCGUAGACGGCAAGGCAAGUCUGGAGUGAAAGCCCGUGGCCCAACCACGGGACUGCUUUGGAAACUGUGUUGCUGGAGUGCAGGAGGGGUAAGCGGAAUUCCUAGUGUAGCGGUGAAAUGCGUAGAUAUUAGGAGGAACACCAGUGGCGAAGGCGGCUUACUGGACUGUAACUGACGUUGAGGCUCGAAGGCGUGGGGAGCAAACAGGAUUAGAUACCCCAGUAGUC